Molecule: ribosomal RNA, 167 nt
Filed under: uncultured bacterium
Lineage: Bacteria
Description: partial 16S ribosomal RNA
Rfam family: Bacterial small subunit ribosomal RNA
Source: RNAcentral
UACGGGAGGCAGCAGUGGGGAAUCUUAGACAAUGGGCGCAAGCCUGAUCUAGCCAUGCCGCGUGAGUGAUGAAGGCCUUAGGGUCGUAAAGCUCUUUCGCCAGGGAUGAUAAUGACAGUACCUGGCAAAGAAACCCCGGCUAACUCCGUGCCAGCAGCCGCGGUAAU